UACGUAGGGGGCAAGCGUUGUCCGGAAUCAUUGGGCGUAAAGAGCGUGUAGGCGGCCAGAAAAGUCCGCUGUGAAAACUCGAGGCUCAACCUCGAGACGCCGAUGGAAACCCCCUAACUAGAGUCCGGAAGAGGAGAGUGGAAUUCCUGGUGUAGCGGUGAAAUGCGCAGAUAUCAGGAAGAACACCCGUGGCUAAGGCGGCUCUCUAGUACGGUACUGACGCUGAGACGCGAAAGCGUGGGGAGCAAACAGG
This 253-nucleotide ribosomal RNA is filed under the name uncultured bacterium. RNAcentral describes it as "partial 16S ribosomal RNA". It matches the Rfam family "Bacterial small subunit ribosomal RNA", at positions 524 to 776 of the family's 1533-position model. The record is from RNAcentral.